RNAcentral lists this ribosomal RNA (489 nucleotides) under Arca sp. 1 YF-2011. Its description in RNAcentral is "partial 12S ribosomal RNA". It matches the Rfam family "Bacterial small subunit ribosomal RNA", at positions 875 to 1394 of the family's 1533-position model. The record is from RNAcentral. Lineage: Eukaryota; Metazoa; Mollusca; Bivalvia; Arcoida; Arcidae.
UGUUACUCCUCGGCGUUAAGCACGAUUUAUGUUUUAUUUUCUGCUAGGCGACUACACUGAUAUCGCAGUCAAAGUCGAAGUACUUGGCGGUCCAAGAUACCCAUUCCGCGGGACUUGACGGUUAAUCUGAUAAUCCGCGUUUCACCGCACUUGCCCUUGAAUCAAGGAGGAGAGUAGGCCUCCCAGGAGAGGACAAUAUGAUACUACAGUUGGUGUAUGGCCGUCGCCAGCUUCCUUUUAGAGGAUGUUCUAAACGCAGGUUGCUAAGACCCCUUUUCGUCGAGGGUGCGCAGUUAGGCGUUCCAAAAAGGCGUGGGAGAAGAAGUCAGGUCGUCAUGCCGCCUACGGGCAAGGCUUAGUUGAGUCACAGGUUGUAAACAUAUUCGGAGGGUGGGAGGAAGAGGCCAUCAGAUAAAGAAGUAGGAGUGGACAGUAGCUUUCAAUUAGAACGUGAGAGCGAAGAGUGAACUUUUGGGCGUACAUACUGCC